GAAAUGCGAUAAGUAGUGUGAAUUGCAGAAUUCAGUGAAUCAUCGAAUCUUUGAACGCACAUUGCGCCCCUUGGUAUUCCAUGGGGCAUGCCUGUUCGAGCGUCAUUUGUACCCGCAAGCUCUGCUUGGUGUUGGGUGUUUGUCCCCGUCUCCGCGCGUGGACUCGCCCCAAAGUGAUUGGCAGCCGGCGUACUGGUCCCGGAGCGCAGCACAUGUCGCGCAAACGAGUGCCUUGGUACGGCGGCGUCCAUAAGCCCCUCUCUCACGCUCUUGACCUCGGAUCAGGUAGGGAUACCCGCUGAACUUAAGC
RNAcentral lists this unclassified non-coding RNA (310 nucleotides) under plant metagenome. RNAcentral's name for it is "partial contains 5.8S ribosomal RNA, internal transcribed spacer 2, and large subunit ribosomal RNA". The stretch from base 1 to 105 matches the Rfam family "5.8S ribosomal RNA", at positions 50 to 154 of the family's 154-position model. The record is from RNAcentral.